RNAcentral lists this ribosomal RNA (536 nucleotides) under uncultured bacterium. RNAcentral's name for it is "bacterial SSU rRNA". It matches the Rfam family "Bacterial small subunit ribosomal RNA", at positions 777 to 1310 of the family's 1533-position model. The record is from RNAcentral.
AAUAGAUACCCGGGUAGUCCACGCCGUAAACGAUGCCGACUCGGUAUCCGUGGGGCGAAUAGCCUCGGGGGUGCCCCAGCUCACGCGGUAAGUCGGCCGCCUGGGGAGUACGGCCGCAAGGUUAAAACUCAAAGAAAUUGACGGGGACCCGCACAAGCGGUGGAGCAUGUGGUUUAAUUCGACGCAACGCGAAGAACCUUACCUAGGCUUGACAUGCAUGGGAAAGCCCUGAGAAACCAGGGCCCCUCUUCGGAGUCCAUGCACAGGUGCUGCAUGGCUGUCGUCAGCUCGUGUCGUGAGAUGUUGGGUUAAGUCCCGCAACGAGCGCAACCCUCGUCUUUAGUUGCUACCAUUUAGUUGGGCACUCUAAAGAAACUGCCGGUGAUAAGCCGGAGGAAGGUGGGGAUGACGUCAAGUCCUCAUGGCCCUUACGCGCUGGGCUACACACGUGCUACAAUGGCGGUGACAGAGGGCUGCAAACCCGCGAGGGUGAGCUAAUCUCCAAAAGCCGUCUCAGUUCGGAUUGUUCUCUGCAA